This 482-nucleotide ribosomal RNA is filed under the name uncultured bacterium. Its description in RNAcentral is "partial 16S ribosomal RNA". It matches the Rfam family "Bacterial small subunit ribosomal RNA", at positions 30 to 507 of the family's 1533-position model. The record is from RNAcentral.
AUUGAACGCUGGCGGCAUGCUUUACACAUGCAAGUCGAACGGUAACAGGCCGCAAGGUGCUGACGAGUGGCGAACGGGUGAGUAAUGCAUCGGAACGUGCCCAGUCGUGGGGGAUAACUACUCGAAAGAGUAGCUAAUACCACAUACGAUCUAUGGAUGAAAGCGGGGGACCGUAAGGCCUCGCGCGAUUGGAGCGGCCGAUGUCAGAUUAGGUAGUUGGUGGGGUAAAGGCUCACCAAGCCAACGAUCUGUAGCUGGUCUGAGAGGACGACCAGCCACACUGGGACUGAGACACGGCCCAGACUCCUACGGGAGGCAGCAGUGGGGAAUUUUGGACAAUGGGCGCAAGCCUGAUCCAGCAAUGCCGCGUGCAGGAAGAAGGCCUUCGGGUUGUAAACUGCUUUUGUACGGAACGAAACGGCUCUGGUUAAUACCCGGGGCUAAUGACGGUACCGUAAGAAUAAGCACCGGCUAACUACGUG